This is a long non-coding RNA of Tympanuchus pallidicinctus (lesser prairie-chicken), 1763 nucleotides long. RefSeq lists it as uncharacterized. The transcript has 3 exons. The record is from RefSeq and is a predicted model, not a curated record. Lineage: Eukaryota; Metazoa; Chordata; Aves; Galliformes; Phasianidae.
UGUCUAUUUGAAGCAUGAGUUUUUCAAUUUAAAUAGCUCUGCUGAUGUCUGCUGAUUCCUCCUACAUGUUUUCACAUGCAUUAAACCAGUUGAUUUUGUAAGAUUAUAUUGUAAACAAGCAAGUUUCUUUCUGUAUUCAUUCAUUAGCCAAUUUGGAGUUUCUGGAUUUUUAUGAUGUGUUGGUUUUGUUGCUUUUUAUUCUUCUUUUGAACUUAUUAGGUACAAAGAAACCCAUUAUAGGAUUAUUGUUGUCAAACAUCAGCGCACAGAGUGUCUCUGGUCAUUAUCUGCCUGAUAAAUAGAGAAGCUUUAAUUUUCAUUGGUGAGUGUUCUGAUCUAAACGACUAAGUCUAAUGGAUAGAUUUUAUUUACAUUUUGCAGCUCAAACUAACUCUGAAUCUUCAGAAGUUCACUGUGUUAGAUUCUCAUUUUUUUACAUCUGAAUGCUUUAAGCCUAAGGCUCCUCUUAGAAGGAAAGCUCUUUGAAGCUCUGGCAUGCUGCUGAGCAACAUUUUAACAGACUAUUUUCUGCUAUCAGGAAGUGUAAUGAGCUGCCUUUUAGGAAAGAAACUGAAGUAAAUUUCUAGGUUCUUACUUUUUGGAGAGCAAGUUUGUUAUACCUAAAAGAGGAAAAACAAAAUCUUCUUCCUUUAUUCUACUGUUUGCAAGGUACUGACAGGCACUGGGAAUGUGGAAUAAAAAUAAAAGUAAAUUAAAUCUACAUGAGUGUAUUCUGUUAUAUUGAUACAUCUUACUGCUCUACACUCAAAAAAAUGUGGAGGGAUGUGCUCCCCUACUCUCACACAUUCACACUCAUACGUUUCUUUAUAGUUAUUUGUGUGUUGCCUGAAAGCCUGAUCCUGGACCAGACAAUGCUGUGCACAGCAUGUGCUGCACAAAAAGGCACCAGCACAGAGUCAAUAAAAAAAAAGAAAACAAUUGAUUUAUGGGAGUGAAAUAAGAAUACUUUACAUGGUAAUGGAAUUGGUAGUGGCUUCAGCACACCAUUAAGGUAAUAAUUUCCAACGUUUCAGACUGAUUUUUCAAAAGCAAAGUUAGGCUUUUAGGAGGAAGGAGAAUGAUGUAGAUUUAUGUAUAACUUCUGGACAUUCUUCCUAAAGAUUAGACUUAGAACUGAAGAAAACUGAAAAUGCUGGCUGGAAAAGUUUUCAUCUGGGCUGUGGAGACUGACUGAAAUGAAAGAGCAUCACAUCUGAUGAAGUGAUGAUGAUGAGUGAAUAAACUAUUGGAGUCUUCAGGAGUGAAGACAAGUUUGGAACUGAAAACAAAUUCAGACGUGUCCAGCUGGAUAGUGGAAAACCCAUGGGCAACAUAGACUUUCUGUAGGCAACUGGGGGAUAAACAGGAAAAAUCUUGAAAACAGGAAAAAUUACAGUGAAGACAUUCCAAUCAGUUCAUAAGUUCAACGAGGAGUUUAAUAAUGCAGUUUUGCCUUUGAAACACAACGGCAUUCUUUCAGUCUUGAAAUGCAGUGACAGCAGCUGCAGAAGAAUGUGGAGGUAUAGUGUGUGUGUUGCUGAGUGAUCCCCUGGUUGGUGCCACAUGUCUGAUGGCUUCCCCUGCAGAGGUCAAGGACAGCCCAUUGGGUAGAGGCACAACUGCUGACAUCCAAGGAGAGCCAAGAGAGAGGCCUUCUGUUCCAGCAUAUCCAUGGACAGGCUGAGUGCCUUGCAAUCUGGCUGAGGUAUGAGUCAGAAACCGGGCCAAGAUGUGUGUUUUCUUGUGCCAGAGAGUAGGGCUCA